This 415-nucleotide ribosomal RNA is filed under the name Crucibulum cf. personatum-RC-2003. RNAcentral's name for it is "eukaryotic LSU rRNA". The record is from RNAcentral. Lineage: Eukaryota; Metazoa; Mollusca; Gastropoda; Littorinimorpha; Calyptraeidae.
AAACCGCCUAGAGGUAAACGGGUGGAUCCGCAAAGUCGGCCCGCGGAAUUCAGCUCGGAAGGCCGUGAGCCUGCGGUGGGUCGGGGAUCUUAUCGACCCUCCUGCUGUGGGAUCUCGCGUCGGCCGUGUGCACUUUCCGCGGGCAGAGCGCCACGACCGGUUCUCGGGGCGGUCAUAAGGCGGCGGGGAUGGUAGGCGUGCGCCUCGGCGCGCGCUGGUAUAGCCCCGCCUGUCCCGAUCCGCUCGGGGACCGAGGAGCCGCCGUCGGUGUAGGCCGCCUUGCCUUCCCGGGAGGUUCGACUGGCAGAGACUGGGCAACCGUGUCUGCCGACCGCCUUUCGGUGAUGGACGGGGUGGGCCCGCCGACACAGGGUCGGUGGCGAAUCGGUCGGCCCUCCACCCGACCCGUCUUGAA